Molecule: ribosomal RNA, 460 nt
Filed under: uncultured bacterium
Lineage: Bacteria
Description: partial 16S ribosomal RNA
Rfam family: Bacterial small subunit ribosomal RNA
Source: RNAcentral
CCUACGGGAGGCUGCAGUGAGGAAUAUUGGUCAAUGGGCGAGAGCCUGAACCAGCCAAGUCGCGUGAAGGAUGAAGGACCUAUGGUUUGUAAACUUCUUUUAUAGGGGAAUAAAAGGCUCCACGUGUGGGAUUUUGUAUGUACCAGAUGAAUAAGGAUCGGCUAACUCCGUGCCAGCAGCCGCGGUAAUACGGAGGAUCCGAGCGUUAUCCGGAUUUAUUGGGUUUAAAGGGAGCGUAGGUGGAUUGUUAAGUCAGUAGUGAAAGUUUGGGGCUCAACCGUAAAAUUGCAGUUGAAACUGGCAGUCUUGAGUACGUGAGAGGUGUGCGGAAUUCGUGGUGUAGCGGUGAAAUGCUUAGAUAUCACGAAGAACUCCGAUUGCGAAGGCAGCUCACUGGCCUGCAACUGACGCUGAGGCUCGAAAGUGUGGGUAUCAAACAGGAUUAGAUACCCCGGUAGUC